Molecule: RNA transcript, 3395 nt
Organism: Mustela erminea (ermine)
Lineage: Eukaryota; Metazoa; Chordata; Mammalia; Carnivora; Mustelidae
Gene: ZCCHC9
Gene name: zinc finger CCHC-type containing 9
Exons: 11
Source: RefSeq, a predicted model, not a curated record
GACGCACUCUCGGGGACGUAUUUCCGGUCCCGAGUGCCGACUCAGUCGCCGGGGGCGGGCUUCUCUGGCUGGCUAACUCAGCUGCCCUGGAGGAUUCGUGCGCGCUUGAUAAAGUACCGCUGAUGAAAUCAUGACCAGGUGGGCCCGAGUAACUACCACUCAUAACAAGAGACCUUUGGCUGCAACAUCAUGGGAGGACAUGAAGAAGGGGUCCUUCCAGGGAGAAAGCCAAAAUCGACCAAAGAAUAAACAACUUGAAGCCAAAAGGCUCUCCGUUAAAAAUGAUGCGCCCCAAGCAAAACACAAAAAGAACAAAAAGAAAAAGGAGUACUUAAAUGAAGAUGUAAAUGGAUUCAUGGAAUACCUAAGACAAAACUCACAGAUAGUUCAUAAUGGAGAGAUGAUAGCAACAGACAGUGAGGAGGUAAGGGAAGAAAUUGCAGUAGCUUUAAAGAAGGAUAGUCGACGGGAAGGAAGAAGACUAAAAAGACAAGCAGCAAAGAAGAAUGCAAUGGUAUGUUUCCAUUGUAGAAAACCUGGCCAUGGGAUUGCAGAUUGCCCAGCUGCCCUUGAGAAUCAAGAUAUGGGAACUGGAAUAUGUUACCGGUGUGGGUCCACAGAGCAUGAAAUAACCAAGUGCAAAGCCAAAGUAGACCCAGCUCUUGGUGAAUUUCCUUUUGCAAAAUGCUUUGUUUGUGGGGAAAUGGGGCAUCUAUCCAGAUCUUGUCCUGAUAAUCCCAAAGGACUCUAUGCUGAUGGUGGUUGCUGUAGACUCUGUGGCUCUGUGGACCAUUUUAAGAAAGAUUGCCCUGAGAGUCAGAAUUCAGGUACAAACCCUUUGGAAAUACCAUCUUUUGUGAAGUCUAGGCAUGCAUGGAAACAGAAGUGGAUCCAAAGAGGGUAAAGGGAGAUCUUGAAAGGACUCAGAAGUGAAGACAAAGACAUAAUAAAAGCCAACAACCCAGAACAAAACACUGGCAAGAGGUCAGAGUUGAAAAGAAUCAGUGAAGUCGUACCUGAGUUUGCUUCAAUUUUAAGAGUUUGUAGAAAAGGUGAGAGUUGGCACCAAGGGGAAGGUAGAGUUCCACUGGGCGCGGGGCAGCAGAGAGAAUCAGAUGUAAAGCGGCAGGAGAAGACAGAAGUACCACCCAGAAGAUGAUACACUGCCCACAGCAGCCUGCGGCUGAGCAGAGGAAAAUUACCUGGAUUGCUACACAAAGCCCGAAGGGCUACCAGAAACUGAAGCUUGUUCUAGAUACAAGUCCACCAUCUUGCUGUCAUCAGGACUGGGCUGAUUCCCGAAGUGGUCUUCAAAAGGGAUAACCUUAAAGAAAAAGCGACUCAAUUCUUAGGAAGAUGUCCACGGCAUCCACGGGGAUAUACAGAGGUAGGUACUAGGGCAGGUCAUGUGUGCAUAAGCACCAGCAAUGACGUGUAUGGAGAAAUAGAUGGAGUACAGGUGACUCUGGUGCUGAAUGAAGCCUGUUUGCAGGAAAUUGCCAAUCAAUGGAGAAUUAUGACUCUGCCAGGCUUAGAGACCAAAUCAGGCUCACAGCUCUGGCUGUGUACUCAGGUGAAGUAUGGUAAACAGACUUCACCCUUUCUCCAGGCUUCCAAAUUAGAGCAUACUUGUCCAGAGGUCAAUUUCAAUACUUGGACUUUGGAUGUUCAUUAAGAACUGUGUCAUCAUUCUGCUUGGACAACUUUUGCCUUCAUUGUACAAUUUUGGGUCAGGAACUUUGACCUGAAUUGAGGGUAUUCCAGUUUUCCUUCUCAUAACCAGAAAGGAUCAACACAGGAUAAUGCUCAUAAAAAUUAGAUUUCUUGCUAAAAAAUAAUUAAAAUGCUCCAAAUACAAAGUCUUUUCCUACAAGCCAAGCUUCCAAGCAAUGACCCAGGGGUAUAAGAGCACAUUCCAAAUAAGUCCUGCUUUUACAUAAUCUAAUCUCAUUUGUUUCCCUUUUCUUCUGAAAGUAUAUGAUUCUGACUCAAAUUUCUUUCUAACAAUAUGCAUUUCAACCACAUAAAAUCUUGAAAGAGAUUCUAACUAAUUGCGGUAUUACUAUCAAUGUAGAGCCCUGGGUUUUCUAAAACCAUGGUUCAAUAACAAAGAUGAUCUAGCUAUCUUCCUUUAGAAGGUGUUGUCCAGUUCAGAACAAACUCCAUCCAGAUACAGCAGGUAGCAUGUAGACAAACCAUGCCUACAUGGCAACUUAAAGUUCCAGGGUCCGGCUCCGACACUAAGAGAAAUUGCUUUUAGGUUCUACGCUACCUCAAUGACAUGAAAGCUAGUAAAUUUUCUAAAAAGACCAAAUCAAUGAAGUUAGUUUCAAAGCUGCUUUGUGCAAAGGAAUGUAGAAUAACCCAUUUUAGGGUAGAUCAGAGGAAACACGAUAAAAACAGACUUCUUAAAAUCUCUCAUCUAAACUGAACCAGACCUCUAGGGUGAUCUGCCCAGCUUCCUAAUAAACUGAAACUGAAAUCGAUUACAAUCAUUUUACCUCUAUAUAUGAAUGGCUGUAGCAUGUGAGAAUGACUUCUGUAUUCACAGUUCAGUGGAGAGUUUUUAUUCCUAACUUUCUGGAACAAAGUUCACCUCUCAAAUGGCCCUGUGCUCCAAGUUUCACUCUUGGUCCCCCAACCUCGUGCCACUGUGAGCCUUCCCUAGAUGACUGUAGGUACUAUUUCAUCUGAAUGACCAUAUGUCCGCUGUUGUGUCUCAAACUAAAUCUCCCCACCCUGAUUUUGUCCCUUUGGUUGUUCCACAGGCACGUCAGACUAAACUCAACUCAUCAUCCAUGUCUUCAAAACUGCCCCUCCCCUCCCCCUCAUAUGCAUUAGCUCAGUUCAUGAUACCACCAUUGGCUGACCAGGUGGUCAGACCAGAAACCUGAGAGUUACCCUGAACAGCUUCUUCUUCCUCACCCAACUCCCCACAUGAGUAUCCCUACUCUGCUUUGUUAUCCCUUGCAUAUUUUUGUCCUUUCCCUCUCCCCUUUCUACUGUCAUUGCCUAGAAUAGCCGCUCCUCACCCCUUGCCUGGUCUCCUUCCCUCUAGUCUCCCCUCCUCUAGGCAGAGUGACCAUAUUCAUUGCCAGCCUAAUCACGCGACCCUGCCCAGAUCUUCAUCGGCUUCCCUCAAGGAGAGAAGAAACGUCAAGCUGCUUUGCCUGGCCUAACAGAGCCUCGGUGACAUAGUCCUACCUUUUCAUGUCCUGCCUCCUUCCACCUUGAAUUUUCUCUCUGGUAUGCCUUUGCUUUCAUGGUUCAGCCAUUUCAUUACUUUAGCAAAAUGCAUUUUAAGUAUAGUUUGGUGCCGAUACCAUCUUUACAAAAGGAUGGACUCUUCUCAGCAGGGUAAUUUAAUGAUGACGUCUUCAUUUCUUUAAAAAGUU